CAGUAGCCACGGGAAUACGGAGGGAGCUAGCGUUGUUCGGAAUUACUGGGCGUAAAGCGCGCGUAGGUGGUUCGCCAAGUUGGAUGUGAAAUCCCCGGGCUCAACCUGGGAACUGCAUCCAAAACUGGCGAGCUAGAGUAUGGUAGAGGGUGGUGGAAUUUCCUGUGUAGCGGUGAAAUGCGUAGAUAUAGGAAGGAACAUCAGUGGCGAAGGCGACCACCUGGACUGAUACUGACACUGAGGUGCGAAAGCGUGGGGAGCAAACAGGAUUAGAUACCCCUGUAGUCCCUGUCUCUUAUAC
RNAcentral lists this ribosomal RNA (301 nucleotides) under uncultured bacterium. Its description in RNAcentral is "partial 16S ribosomal RNA". It matches the Rfam family "Bacterial small subunit ribosomal RNA", at positions 509 to 807 of the family's 1533-position model. The record is from RNAcentral.